GCCCAGACUCCUACGGGAGGCAGCAGUAGGGAAUCUUCCACAAUGGACGAAAGUCUGAUGGAGCAACGCCGCGUGAGUGAUGAAGGUUUUCGGAUCGUAAAACUCUGUUGUAAGGGAAGAACAAGUACGAGAGGGAAUGCUCGUACCUUGACGGUACCUUGCGAGAAAGCCACGGCUUAACUACGUGCCAGCAGCCGCGGUAAUACGUAGGUGGCAAGCGUGUCCGGAAUUAUUGGGCGUAAAGCGCGCGCAGGCGGCCUUUUAAGUCUGAUGUGAAAGCCCCCGGCUCAACCGGGGAGGGUCAUUGGAAACUGGAAGGCUUGAUUACAGAAGAGAAGAGUGGAAUUCAUGUUUAGCGUAGAAAUGCGUAGAGAUGUGGAGGAACACCAGUGGCGAAGCGACUCUUUUGGCUGUAACUGACGCUGAGUCGCGAAAGCUGGGGAGCAACCAGGAUUAGAUACCCUGGAAGUCCACGCCGUAAACGAUUAGUGCUAGGUGUUGGGGGGUUUCCGCCCCUCAGUGCUGAAGCUAACGCAUUAAGCACUCCGCCUGGGGAGUACGGCCGCAAGGCUAAACUCAAAGGAAUUGAGG
This 591-nucleotide ribosomal RNA is filed under the name Exiguobacterium artemiae. Its description in RNAcentral is "bacterial SSU rRNA". It matches the Rfam family "Bacterial small subunit ribosomal RNA", at positions 329 to 915 of the family's 1533-position model. Lineage: Bacteria; Bacillati; Bacillota; Bacilli; Caryophanales. The record is from RNAcentral.